RNAcentral lists this ribosomal RNA (253 nucleotides) under uncultured bacterium. RNAcentral's name for it is "partial 16S ribosomal RNA". It matches the Rfam family "Bacterial small subunit ribosomal RNA", at positions 524 to 776 of the family's 1533-position model. The record is from RNAcentral.
UACGUAGGGUGCAAGCGUUGUCCGGAUUUAUUGGGCGUAAAGAGCGUGUAGGCGGCUUUGCAAGUCCGUUGUGAAAACUCGAGGCUCAACCUCGAGACGCCGGUGGAAACUGCAAAGCUAGAGUCCGGAAGAGGCGAGUGGAAUUCCCGGUGUAGCGGUGAAAUGCGCAGAUAUCGGGAGGAACACCUAUGGCGAAGGCAGCUCGCUGGGACGUUACUGACGCUGAGACGCGAAAGCGUGGGGAGCAAACAGG